GAUGAACGCUGGCGGCGUGCUUAACACAUGCAAGUCGAACGAUGAAGCCCAGCUUGCUGGGCGGAUUAGUGGCGAACGGGUGAGUAACACGUGAGUAACCUGCCCUUGACUCUGGGAUAAGCCCGGGAAACUGUGUCUAAUACCGGAUAGGAGCGCCUGUCGCAUGACGGGUGCUGGAAAGAUCUUUCGGUCAUGGAUGGACUCGCGGCCUAUCAGCUUGUUGGUGAGGUAACGGCUCACCAAGGCGACGACGGGUAGCCGGCCUGAGAGGGUGACCGGCCACACUGGGACUGAGACACGGCCCAGACCCCUACGGGAGGCAGCAGUGGGGAAUAUUGCACAAUGGGCGGAAGCCUGAUGCAGCGACGCCGCGUGAGGGAUGACGGCCUUCGGGUUGUAAACCUCUUUCAGCAGGGAAGAAGCGAAAGUGACGGUACCUGCAGAAGAAGCACCGGCUAACUACGUG
RNAcentral lists this ribosomal RNA (466 nucleotides) under uncultured bacterium. RNAcentral's name for it is "partial 16S ribosomal RNA". It matches the Rfam family "Bacterial small subunit ribosomal RNA", at positions 28 to 507 of the family's 1533-position model. The record is from RNAcentral.